This 772-nucleotide ribosomal RNA is filed under the name Diaporthe inconspicua. RNAcentral describes it as "LSU rRNA". It matches the Rfam family "Eukaryotic large subunit ribosomal RNA", at positions 94 to 898 of the family's 3401-position model. The record is from RNAcentral. Lineage: Eukaryota; Fungi; Ascomycota; Sordariomycetes; Diaporthales; Diaporthaceae.
UGAAGCGGCAACAGCUCAAAUUUGAAAUCUGGCUUCGGCCCGAGUUGUAAUUUGCAGAGGAUGUUUCUGGCGCGGUGCCUUCCGAGUUCCCUGGAACGGGACGCCACAGAGGGUGAGAGCCCCGUAUGGUUGGACACCAAGCCUGUGUGAAACUCCUUCAACGAGUCGAGUAGUUUGGGAAUGCUGCUCUAAAUGGGAGGUAAAUCUCUUCUAAAGCUAAAUACCGGCCAGAGACCGAUAGCGCACAAGUAGAGUGAUCGAAAGAUGAAAAGCACCUUGAAAAGGGGGUUAAAUAGUACGUGAAAUUGUUGAAAGGGAAGCACUUAUGACCAGACUUGGGCCGGGCGGCUCAUCAGGGGUUCUCCCCUGUGCACUCCGCCCGGCACAGGCCAGCAUCGGUUCUCGUGGGGGGAUAAGACCGUCAGGAACGUAGCACCCUCCGGGGUGUGUUAUAGCCUGGCGGACGAUACCCCCGUGGGGACCGAGGUCCGCGCUCCGCAAGGAUGCUGGCGUAAUGGUCAUCAGUGACCCGUCUUGAAACACGGACCAAGGAGUCGUCCAUUAGAGCGAGCGUUUGGGUGUAAAACCCGCACGCGUAAUGAAAGUGAACGCAGGUGAGAGCUUCGGCGCAUCAUCGACCGAUCCUGAUGUUCUCGGAAGGAUUUGAGUAAGAGUUUUAACGGACGGACCCGAAAGACAGUGAACUAUGCUUGUAUAGGGUGAAGCCAGAGGAAACUCUGGUGGAGGCUCGCAGCGGUUCUGACGUGCAAAU